Molecule: ribosomal RNA, 542 nt
Filed under: Escherichia coli
Lineage: Bacteria; Pseudomonadati; Pseudomonadota; Gammaproteobacteria; Enterobacterales; Enterobacteriaceae
Description: partial 23S ribosomal RNA
Rfam family: Bacterial large subunit ribosomal RNA
Source: RNAcentral
GGUUAAGCGACUAAGCGUACACGGUGGAUGCCCUGGCAGUCAGAGGCGAUGAAGGACGUGCUAAUCUGCGAUAAGCGUCGGUAAGGUGAUAUGAACCGUUAUAACCGGCGAUUUCCGAAUGGGGAAACCCAGUGUGAUUCGUCACACUAUCAUUAACUGAAUCCAUAGGUUAAUGAGGCGAACCGGGGGAACUGAAACAUCUAAGUACCCCGAGGAAAAGAAAUCAACCGAGAUUCCCCCAGUAGCGGCGAGCGAACGGGGAGGAGCCCAGAGCCUGAAUCAGUGUGUGUGUUAGUGGAAGCGUCUGGAAAGGCGCGCGAUACAGGGUGACAGCCCCGUACACAAAAAUGCACAUGCUGUGAGCUCGAUGAGUAGGGCGGGACACGUGGUAUCCUGUCUGAAUAUGGGGGGACCAUCCUCCAAGGCUAAAUACUCCUGACUGACCGAUAGUGAACCAGUACCGUGAGGGAAAGGCGAAAAGAACCCCGGCGAGGGGAGUGAAAAAGAACCUGAAACCGUGUACGUACAAGCAGUGGGAGCAC